Molecule: ribosomal RNA, 1958 nt
Filed under: Medusapyga alsea
Lineage: Eukaryota; Metazoa; Arthropoda; Insecta; Coleoptera; Carabidae
Description: partial 18S small subunit ribosomal RNA
Rfam family: Eukaryotic small subunit ribosomal RNA
Source: RNAcentral
GCCAUGCAUGUCUCAGUACAAACAAUAUUAAUGUGAAACCGCGAAAGGCUCAUUAAAUCAGUUAUGGUUCCUUAGAUCGUACCCACAUUUACUUGGAUAACUGUGGUAAUUCUAGAGCUAAUACAUGCAAACAGAGCUCCAACCGGAGACGGAAGGAGUGCUUUUAUUAGAUCAAAACCAAUCGGCGGCAGUGGCGUGUUCUCGUCGCUGUUCGUCGCAGUGCUUGGUGACUCUGAAUAACUUUUGGCUGAUCGCACGGUCUUGCACCGGCGACGCAUCUUUCAAAUGUCUGCCUUAUCAACUGUCGAUGGUAGGUUCUGCGCCUACCAUGGUUGUAACGGGUAACGGGGAAUCAGGGUUCGAUUCCGGAGAGGGAGCCUGAGAAACGGCUACCACAUCCAAGGAAGGCAGCAGGCGCGCAAAUUACCCACUCCCGGCACGGGGAGGUAGUGACGAAAAAUAACGAUACGGGACUCAUCCGAGGCCCCGUAAUCGGAAUGAGAACACUUUAAAUCCUUUAACAAGGACCAAUUGGAGGGCAAGUCUGGUGCCAGCAGCCGCGGUAAUUCCAGCUCCAAUAGCGUAUAUUAAAGUUGUUGCGGUUAAAAAGCUCGUAGUUGAAUUUGUGUUCCGCGCUGUCGGUUCACCGCCCGCGGUGUUUAACUGGCACGUCUCGCGGAACGUCCUGCCGGUGGAUGCGUGGCCUUCGUGUACUUCCCCCCGUUGUGCUUGUGCAGCAACUUCCUGUUGUCUGCACUCUGUACAGCGGUGACGGGCGGGCAUGGACGUGUCACCAUCCGACUCAAUAAUCCUGUCGCGGUGCUCUUAAUUGAGUGUCGAGGCGGGCCGGCACGUUUACUUUGAACAAAUUAGAGUGCUCAAAGCAGGCUAAAAUUUUGCCUGAAUACUAUGUGCAUGGAAUAAUGGAACAGGACCUCGGUUCUAUUUUGUUGGUUUUCGGAACCCCGAGGUAAUGAUUAAUAGGGACAGAUGGGGGCAUUCGUAUUGCGACGUUAGAGGUGAAAUUCUUGGAUCGUCGCAAGACGGACAGAAGCGAAAGCAUUUGCCAAAAAUGUUUUCAUUAAUCAAGAACGAAAGUCAGAGGUUCGAAGGCGAUCAGAUACCGCCCUAGUUCUGACCAUAAACGAUGCCAGCUAGCGAUCCGCCGACGUUCCUCCGAUGACUCGGCGGGCAGCUUCCGGGAAACCAAAGCUUUUGGGUUCCGGGGGAAGUAUGGUUGCAAAGCUGAAACUUAAAGGAAUUGACGGAAGGGCACCACCAGGAGUGGAGCCUGCGGCUCAAUUUGACUCAACACGGGACAGCUUACUAGGCCCAGACACCGGAAGGAUUGACAGAUUGAGAGCUCUUUCUUGAUUCGGUGGGUGGUGGUGCAUGGCCGUUCUUCGUUGGUGGAGUGAUUUGUCUGGUUUAUUCCGAUAACGAACGAGAUUCUAGCCUACUAACUAGGCGUUACUUACCGGUAUCCUGAAGGCUCGUGUCUCCCGUGUCCUGGCGUGUGUGCGCUGAGGUGGUACACCACUUCGCGUGGUGUGCGCCGCUCGUGUGCAUGUUCAGUGCGGGAGCUCACGGUUUUUACUACCGGCGUACAUAUAUAUCUUCUUAGAGGGACAGACGACUAUAAGUCGUACGAGAUUGAGCGAUAACAGGUCAGUGAUGCCCUUAGAUGUUCUGGGCCGCACGCGCGCUACACUGAAGGAAUCAGCGUGUUUUCCCUGGCCGAGCGGUCCGGGUAACCCGCUGAACCUCCUUCGUGCUAGGGAUUGGGGCUUGUAAUUUUUCCCCAUGAACGAGGAAUUCCCAGUAAGCGCGAGUCAUUAACUCGCGUUGAUUAAGUCCCUGCCCUUUGUCCACACCGCCCGUCGCUACUACCGAUUGAAUGAUUUAGUGAGGUCUUCGGACUGGUACGCGGGGACGUUUCAACGUUGCCGAUGUCGCUG